UUAAGCUACUAAGGGUGUACGGUGAAUGCCCUGGCAUCAGAAGGCGAUGAAGGACGUAGCUAGCUGCGAUAAGCCCCGGGGAGCCGCAAGCAGGCCGUGAUCCGAGGAUGUCCGAAUGGGGAAACCCAGGCGAUGAAUGCCGCCUAUCCUCUGCUGAAUACAUAGGCAGUGAGAAGCCCACGCAGGGAAGUGAAACAUCUCAGUACCUGCAGGAAUAGAAAUCAAUCGAGAUUCCCCCAGUAGUGGCGAGCGAAAAGGGAACAGCCUAAACUGUGCCGAUGUCAAGCCCGUGUGCGUUGUCGGCGUAGUGUUGUAGGCCUUCAUUGGACGGUGAUACGGAGCCGUCGGCGAGUUACAAAUUAGGAUCGUAGCAGAAUAGUCUGGAAAGGCUGACCAUAGAAGGUGACAGUCCUGUAUGUAAAACGACCCUAACUCGUUGAAUGGAGGUCCUGAGUACCACGGGGCCCGAGAAACCUUGUGGGAAUCUGGGACGACCACGUUCCAAGGCUAAAUACUCUCUGAUGACCGAUAGUGAACCAGUACCGUGAGGGAAAGGUGAAAAGAACCCCGGUGAGGGGAGUGAAAUAGAACCUGAAACCGUACACCUACAAGCAGCGAAAGGGCUAUGCCCGCAAGGGAAUGCCUGAUCGUGUGCCUUUUGCUUAAUGAGCCUGCGAGUUAUUUAGCGUAGCAAGGUUAAGGCGAAGAGCCGGAGCCGUAGCGAAAGCGAGUCCGAAUUGGGCAUUGAGUUGCGCUGAAUAGACCCGAAGCGAAGUGAUCUACCCAUGGCCAAGGCGAAUCCGCCGUAACAGGCGGAGGAGGCCUGAACUGAUGUUAGUUGCAAAUGGCUCGGAUGAGCUGUGGGUAGGGGUGAAAGGCUAAUCAAACUUCGUGAUUGCUGGUUCUCCCCGAAAUAACUAGAGGGUUAGCCUCGUCUCAGCCGUGACGGAGGUAGAGCACUGAAUGAGCUAGGGGCGUUCCAACGCUACCGAACUCAAUCAAACUCCGAAUGCCGUUACUGGACGAACGGGAGUUAGACUACGAGUGCUAAGAUCCGUGGUCAAAAGGGAAACAGCCCAGACCGUCAGCUAAGGUCCCUAAUCGUGAGCUAAGUGGAAAAGGUUGUAAGAUCGCUCAGACAGCCAGGAGGUUGGCUUAGAAGCAGCCAUCCUUUAAAGAGUGCGUAAUAGCUCACUGGUCGAGCGAUUUUGCGCCGAAAAUGUAACGGGGCUCAAGUUCACAACCGAAGCUACGGACUUGCAUCGCAAGAUGUGAGUGGUAGGGGAGCAUUCUCUGUGCGGUGAAGGUUGACCGACAAGGACAACUGGAGCGCAGAGAAGAGAUUAUGCAGGCAUAAGUAGCGAUAAACGAUGUGAGAAUCAUCGUCCCCGUAAGCCUAAGGUUUCCUGGCCUAUGUUCGUCAGGUCAGGGUGAGUCGGAUCCUAAGCCGAGGUCGACAGACGUAGGCGAUGGCAAACAGGUCAAUAUUCCUGUACCACCGUAUUGACGUUAUCAGCGAAGGGGGGACGCAGAAGGGUAGGCACCGCCGGGUCCCUGGAAUACCCGGUCCAAGCAUGUAGGCGGGAACUGUAGGCAAAUCCGCGGUUCCGUUAACGCCGAGAUGUGAUGGGGAGGCCGCAAGGCCAUAAACGGGCUGAUCCCACGCUGCCGAGAAAAGCCUCGUAGCGAGUCAGUACGAUGUCCGUACCGCAAACCGACACAGGUAGGUGGGUGGAAUACACCAAGGGGCGUGAGAGAACACUCCCUAAGGAACUAUGCAAUUUAGCCCCGUAACUUCGGGAGAAGGGGUGCCCUGCGUAAGUGAGGCCGUACAGGCCGAGCUGAACGGGGUUGCAAUAAAGUGGCUCUAGCGACUGUUUACCAAAAACACAGGACUCUGCAAACACGAUAGUGGAUGUAUAGGGUCUGACGCCUGCCCGGUGCUGGAAGGUUAACCGGAGGAGUUAGCCGCAAGGCAAAGCUUUGAAGGGAAGCCCCAGUAAACGGCGGCCGUAACUAUAACGGUCCUAAGGUAGCGAAAUUCCUUGUCGGGUAAGUUCCGACCUGCAUGAAUGGCGUAACGA
RNAcentral lists this ribosomal RNA (2084 nucleotides) under wastewater metagenome. RNAcentral's name for it is "bacterial LSU rRNA". It matches the Rfam family "Bacterial large subunit ribosomal RNA", at positions 3 to 2007 of the family's 2925-position model. The record is from RNAcentral.